AUGAUCAGAAUUAUCAUAGUGUUUCAGUCUCUCUACUGGAUUCAAGGAGUUGCAGGAGUGAAUCAUGUCUCUCAGCCCAACAUAAUCUCAGCUAAAAUGGGUGAAUCAGCCACAAUGAACUGCUCACACACCAAGGGGUCAGAUUAUUAUCUGAUGUACUGGUUCCGUCAGUAUCAUGGAGAGAGCAUGGAGCUUAUAGUGCUCACGAACACCUUCAGCAAUCCGGACUUUGGAAAAUUCAACCAAAAUAAAUUUUCAGUCAUUAAAACAGUUCCUGAGGAAGGAUUUUUCACAGUGAAGGAUGUGGAUUAUAAUGACAGCGCUGUGUAUUUCUGUGCUGUGAGAGAACACAGUGUUAUAACCACAGGGCAUAGCUGUACAAAAACACACAGUGUGAAAGGCAGGAAGAAAUAG
Neoarius graeffei (lesser salmon catfish) is the source of this 414-nucleotide non-coding RNA. The record is from the annotation of a RefSeq genome assembly. Lineage: Eukaryota; Metazoa; Chordata; Actinopteri; Siluriformes; Ariidae.